Long non-coding RNA from Carassius carassius (crucian carp), 458 nucleotides. RefSeq lists it as uncharacterized. The transcript is spliced from 5 exons. NCBI's taxonomy places the organism in Eukaryota, Metazoa, Chordata, Actinopteri, Cypriniformes, Cyprinidae. The record is from RefSeq and is a predicted model, not a curated record.
AUCGACUGUUCGUUGGAGUGGGAGAUCACAUAUAUUGUAAGAUGACCCGACGGUAGCUGCUCGCAUUUCAGCCUGUCUGAGGGGAUUCCUAGUGGAAAGUGCUUUAAAAGUGUCAGACUUUCACCAAGCAAAAAGAUACCUGGUCACAUCAGAUGAGCUACAGAGAAGAUGGUCUCUGCCAGAGAGCUACUCUGCAAACGCUAUAGUGGCUUAUCUCCGGAAGGCCAAGGGACAAAAAAAAAAAAAUUAUAGAGAAGUUGGAGGAGUUGGAGGUGAAGCCCUCAAAGCAAACAAAGUUAACUUCACAGUGCUCCAAACUUUGUGAAGAUGAAUGCAGUGAUCUGGCUGGUGACAUCAUGUACCUGGCAACAAAAUUCAUCCCCCAGAAAAAAGUGGCUGAAGCCCUGUUGGAAGAGGGAAAUGUCAAUGAAGCCAUGUUCAAAACAGAAGACUGCAGG